This is a long non-coding RNA of Mastomys coucha (southern multimammate mouse), 3346 nucleotides long. RefSeq lists it as uncharacterized. NCBI's taxonomy places the organism in Eukaryota, Metazoa, Chordata, Mammalia, Rodentia, Muridae. The transcript has 2 exons. The record is from RefSeq and is a predicted model, not a curated record.
GAAGAAUGUCCGAGAGUUCGAUGCCUUUGUCGAAACCCUGCAGUAAAAGUGUCCUGAGUGUCUGCAGCACCCCCUUUCUAUGGACCUAGCAGAGAACCUCCUCUUCCUCAGCUGCUCCCCAGCCUUCUGCUGUUUCUGGCCAGGUGAAAGGCAGGGUGGUUCCCCUAUGGGACUUAGAAGUCCCCGCUCUUGGACUUCCUGGAGACUCAUGGCAGCAAUCAGGCCUAAUGCCGGACCUGGGGAGGACUCUGGCUGUGGAGCUGGAAGCUGGCUGCAACAGAGCCUCAAGCAAGGACUGUCCUCAGCUACUUCACAGAGGGACAGAGGGUGUCAUCUGUUCUUCCUGCUACCAGCCUGGGCCUGAGGCCAGCCCCUGCCUGCUGUCCUUACCAUUAACCACCUGACAUUCCAGCUGGUGGCUGGGACACUGGGCGAGGUAUAAAGAGGAAGAAAACCAAGGAGACCAAGCCAGGCAAAAGAGGGCCCUGUGUCACCAGUAGUUCCUGGACCACUCCCCACCCCUACCCCCCACUCUCCCUCCCUUAUCUCUCCUCUUUCUUUCCUUCUGUCUUUAUUCACUCCCUUUCUCUCACCUUCUUUCUCCUCUUCAUUUCCCACCUUGUCUUCCUGGGCCUGUGCUUUUGACAAUAUGACAGGCCAAUCUGCCUAAAAUGACAAGUAUUCCAAAGCCAGCCACCAUCUCCCAAAGGCUGCAAUAGCCUGGUUCUAGAAUUCGUUAUUGAGAGUCACAGUUUCUUUCCUUCUCAUUUUCCCUCAGUUGCUGCUGCGUGGACAUAGAACAUGGUAAAUAUUUAUUAUUUCAGAGAAAUCAGAUAUUUUAUAGAAGUAUGUUUUGGGUUAGCAGUUCCACUGAGGAAGGAGGGUCUCUUCUGGGAUGUAGGCCUCCCAUGAAGAUUCCUCAACCUGUGCUGCUGCUCUGAGGAUCUUCCUGCCCCAUCAAAGGAGAGAUCAGGAAUGGGUCUGGCAAAGGCAAAGUAACCGCUCAAGCUGCGUAUGUGGACUUAUGCAGGCAUCAGGCUUCCCCAGCACACUGCAUGCUCCUGCUGAGCAUCUGUAAAGGAACUGGCUCUAUCUAGCAGCCCAGGAAAUUUCCGGUAUGUUCAGUGUGAUGACUCCUCAGAGUUGUGUUGCACACCGUGCCCAAGGGAGCACUGUGUAUCCUGCUGCUCAAGUUCCUGAGCCUGGAGCAGGGCUGGGGAGCUCUUCCUCCCUCCCUCUAAUUCCAGAGUCUACACGGCCCUGGGCUUACAAGCUGGAUUGGUUCCCUUUUGAGAAACCAAAGCUGAGCUUAUGGUUGACUUAAACCUUCAGGUAUUGUUGCUUGAGUAAGUCAAGUGCCUCUGCCAGCCUGCCCUGUUCCUCUGCCUCUGGAUCCUCACUGGCAGCAGCUGUUACGCAUUGGAGCAGGUGGCUCUCAACUGCUUGUUAGUAAUCUGCAUGUAACACUGGAGCCUUUCCCCUGUGCAUGCUUUUGCUGGCACAGAGAAAUGUGCCCAGCGGUGGUGGCCAAAUGCCAUUGCAGCCUUUGGGUCGGGGCACAUUCAUGGCCUACUUAAACCAGAUUUACGCCCAGAGCCAGCACUGAAGGGGGUGAGGGCACGGGUUCUUUGCAGGGUGUAGACAGCAGCCUGUAUGUCCCAGAUUAUUAGGAAAGAGGCCAGGGAAGCUGAGCAGAGCAUCCUUCAAGGUAGCCUGUGCUCUUCAGCACAAUGGAAGAGAUGGGCUCUAGACCAACUGCAGCCAAGCUCAGGCUGGGACCAGGUGACUGUGAGGCCCCUCCAGUGUUUUGUUGGGAAAUGAGAGCUACACUUGGAAAUAUAAUCAAGAGAUUUCCAAUAAAAAGUUUUCUGUACUUCAUAGCUUCCUAUUCCAAAUGUCUUGACAACUAGUCCACCAGUCCCACCUCUGCAUCACUGAACCACCAUCGGCUUUCAUAAGGAGCGAAGGGUGGAGCGUGAAUUUCAGAAGAGUCCUGAGUCACAGGGCUGCUUCAGUCUUGGGACUUGAUCAAGUACCUAAGAGCCUUGGCUCUCUAGAGCCUUGUAUUAUUACCCAAGAAAGGGCUAUGUGAUUGAAUAUUCAGUGAAGAACUCUUAUUAAAUCUCCUUCAAGCGUGGGCUGCUGUUAGCAGCUUCUUAUCCCUUACAUAGCAUACUUACCACCCUACCUGCAGGACAUAGAAUACCUAGAGGGGAGGACAAGCCACAGAGGAUGCAACAUGGAUGGUGGCUGAUGUCAUGAACAGGGUUAUGGCUGAGCAAAUGAGGGAAGUGCAGGGAAGCGUGGCCUGUGCAAGUUUGUUCUGCUAACAAGAGUCCAGAAAGGACGGUGGACUCUCAGAGGAGUACCGAAGAACAGGAGAGCCCAGCAAUAAUUAAGUCUGAUGUACACACAUGCACCCCAGCUAUGGCUACACAUCUACCUCCUAGUGCACACUGCAGAGCCAAUGUAUUCUAUUUUUGUUUUGUUUUGUUUUUCCAAUGUAUAGAUAGUUCUGGAUGCAAAAGUCAACUAGGUACUUGUGUAGGCUCGUUCCCCUGCACCCGAGUCAAGUCUGGCCCAAGGACAACAGUGGGACCAUCAGAGGAUUCUAAGUCAGCCUAAGAAUAGAGUUGAAGAGAAUGGAGUCAGCCCACUUUGCCAGUAAAAGCCUGGGUGCCCUUGUAAAUGCAUCUGAUUCAGAGACCAUAACACUUGAGCACACAGCCAAACAGCACAGCUGUCCAAGCUGGGUCAGAAAUGGUAGUAGCAUCCUUGGAUACCUUUGGAGGCUCCAGGUAUUUCAUGACCAGCAAUGUGUCUGAUUCUUAAAACACCCUUUGCCUGAGAGACCUUGUUGUUAAGGUUUUGUUUACUAGUACCUGAGUAACUGCAGAGGCCCUGCCAGGAUCCCAACUCAAGUAAACAGCUCUCCCUGGCUCUGGUUCUGCUGUUUUCCUGGGUCACUGCCUCAAGCAGUUCCAGUGUCACCCAGCCUACAGCUGAGCAUUGCUAACAAGGAAUUAAGCCACCAAAGCCUUGUGUCUCAAGGCACCUGGAUCAAGGCCACAGUUGUGCAAUGGAACUUCCUUGAAGCUCGGGACCAGUGUUUACAAACACAUCUUAAUACUGCUGGAACCAGUGGCUCUGGCUAGGCAGCCUCUGCCCAAAACAGGAAAAGUUAACCCACCCUGGGCCAUCAUAACCUCCUGAUGGCAGUAGGCAGGUAUCUGGAACUUGCCCUUGACAACUGAAAUUUGGACCUCCUCCCAGUUGUAAAACAAUAAAAGUCAAAUGUGAUGGUUCGUGCUUAGAAUCACUACAUUCAAAAGAAUCACAACAGAGA